RNAcentral lists this long non-coding RNA (637 nucleotides) under Phaseolus vulgaris (common bean). RNAcentral describes it as "long non-coding RNA (PVUL_LNC004847)". The record is from RNAcentral. Lineage: Eukaryota; Viridiplantae; Streptophyta; Magnoliopsida; Fabales; Fabaceae.
AGAUCACACCAAUGAAAAUAUUAGAUUAAGAUAAAUAGUUUUAAACUUUUUUAGAAGAAGUUGCUAUUACAAAGUGAACUUUAAGUCUAACUCAAUUCUAUAAAAUCGGCUCAUAAGGUUGAAGUUUGCACCUACUUAUAUACAAUGAAAUGUCAUCAUCUCUAAUCGAUGUGAGAUCUCUAACAACUGCAUGUCACGAAAUUAAAUAAUAAAUUUGUUUGCUCCAUAUGAUCUAAAUACUCAACUAGCUUAUUUAAUGGAGUAACCUAACUAAAACCUAAUGAAAUAAUGUUUUCAUUUUUGUUGUUGUUUAGGUUAUUUGCAUAUUUGUGCCUUUGCAAGUUGCAAGGUACCCAACACUUGGGUCAUUGAGAACCUCAUGUAUCUUUAUGUUUCCUUUUCCACACUCCAAAUGAAGGUGAUUCAUAACAAAAGUCGCUUUCUCUAUAAUGAAUUACCUCUUUGGUAAACUCCAUCAUUGUUCUAGGUCAUAGAUCCCUUUCUCAUUAACUUGCCGGAACAAGAUGUCCUAUUCAACCAAAAAUUAACUUAUGCCACCAAUAUAUAUUUAUAUCUAACCUAAAAAACUUAAAACACAAGACUAAAAUGUAGAAAUAGUGAAAACCAACAAUAAUUG